AUGUAAUGCCUAUAGUAUUAAUGCACCAGAUCCCAUAGAAAUCCGCAGUUAAGUGUGAUUGGGAUAGAAUAUUACUAGGAUGGCUGAUCUCCUGGGAAGUCCUAGUGUUUUACAUU
This is a non-coding RNA of Picea glauca (white spruce), 116 nucleotides long. The record is from Rfam. Lineage: Eukaryota; Viridiplantae; Streptophyta; Pinopsida; Pinales; Pinaceae.